Long non-coding RNA from Caretta caretta (loggerhead turtle), 488 nucleotides. RefSeq lists it as uncharacterized. Lineage: Eukaryota; Metazoa; Chordata; Testudines; Cheloniidae. The record is from RefSeq and is a predicted model, not a curated record.
GAAUGAGAGAUGGUGAAGGAAUAAGUGCACAGGAAAUUUACUACGCUGAUUGGUGUUAUUUUGGAGCACUCCAGCUGAAGAGCAGCUUGAUAAAUGGCUCAGGUGUCCAGCUGAAAAACUUAAGCCUUGAACGCCAGCUGGGAAGCUGAAAUUGUUUCACAUUUUACCUGUCCCCUCCCAGAAUCUCUGCUGCACCAACGAUCACUUUGUAGAGCUUUCAGCCCUGGGAAGAACACACAGAAUCGAAAAGCAUCCAGGUUAUUAGAGAAAUAAAAUAUUCUGCAGAUCAGUUGAUUCAUGAACUAUUAAAUGCCCCUUGAGCCAGUCUGCAGAAGAACUGGCUGAUACAUAAAUGGGAUGGGUAUUCUACAGGGCUCCCUGCCUUCAGCAGCCUCCAGGAUCAGAUGAAUAUUACACAUAUUUUUGAGGCGUUUGCCUUUCAUGAGCUGCCAGCAUGGACCAGGACCCCAUUUUGCUAGGAGCUGUAC